RNAcentral lists this ribosomal RNA (574 nucleotides) under uncultured bacterium. RNAcentral describes it as "bacterial SSU rRNA". It matches the Rfam family "Bacterial small subunit ribosomal RNA", at positions 28 to 583 of the family's 1533-position model. The record is from RNAcentral.
GACGAACGCUGGCGGUGUGCCUAACACAUGCAAGUCAAGGGGAAAGGCGGACUUCGGUUUGCCGAGUAUACUGGCGGACGGGUGAGUAACGCGUAGGCAACCUGCCCCUAUGUCUGGGAUAACCUCAAGAAAUCGGGGCUAAUACCGGAUAAGGUUAUUGUAACGCAUGUUAUGAUAAUCAAAGGUGCUGCAAGGUACUGCAUAGGGAUGGGCCUGCGUUCCAUUAGCUAGAUGGUGAGGUAACGGCUCACCAUGGCGACGAUGGAUAGCUGAUCUGAGAGGAUGAUCACCCACACUGGGAUUGAGAUACGGCCCACACUCCUACGGGAGGCAGCAGUGAGGAAUAUUGCGCAGUGGGGGCAACCCUGACGCAGCAACGCCGCGUGGGGGAAGAAUCUCUAUGGAGUGUAAACCUCUGUAGGAAGAGAAGAAAGGUAUGGCUUCGUAAGGGGUCAUAUUUGACGGUACCUACAAAGUAAGCUCCGGCUAACUCCGUGCCAGCAGCCGCGGUAAUACGGGGGGGAGCAAGCGUUGUCCGGAAUCACUGGGCGUAAAGGGCGUGUACGCGGUCUGG